UACGUAGGGCGCAAGCGUUGUCCGGAAUCAUUGGGCGUAAAGAGCGUGUAGGCGGCCCGGUAAGUCCGCUGUGAAAGUCCAGGGCUCAACCCUGGAAUGCCGGUGGAAACUGUCGGGCUAGAGUCCGGAAGAGGCGAGUGGAAUUCCUGGUGUAGCGGUGAAAUGCGCAGAUAUCAGGAGGAACACCAAUGGCGAAGGCAGCUCGCUGGGACGGUACUGACGCUGAGGAGCGAAAGCGUGGGUAGCGAACAGG
This 253-nucleotide ribosomal RNA is filed under the name uncultured bacterium. RNAcentral's name for it is "partial 16S ribosomal RNA". It matches the Rfam family "Bacterial small subunit ribosomal RNA", at positions 524 to 776 of the family's 1533-position model. The record is from RNAcentral.